CAAACUGCGAAUACCGGAGAAUGUUAUCACGGGAGACACACGGCGGGUGCUAACGUCCGUCGUGAAGAGGGAAACAACCCAGACCGCCAGCUAAGGUCCCAAAGUCAUGGUUAAGUGGGAAACGAUGUGGGAAGGCCCAGACAGCCAGGAUGUUGGCUUAGAAGCAGCCAUCAUUUAAAGAAAGCGUAAUAGCUCACUGGUCGAGUCGGCCUGCGCGGAAGAUGUAACGGGGCUAAACCAUGCACCGAAGCUGCGGCAGCGACGCUUAUGCGUUGUUGGGUAGGGGAGCGUUCUGUAAGCCUGCGAAGGUGUGCUGUGAGGCAUGCUGGAGGUAUCAGAAGUGCGAAUGCUGACAUAAGUAACGAUAAAGCGGGUGAAAAGCCCGCUCGCCGGAAGACCAAGGGUUCCUGUCCAACGUUAAUCGGGGCAGGGUGAGUCGACCCCUAAGGCGAGGCCGAAAGGCGUAGUCGAUGGGAAACAGGUUAAUAUUCCUGUACUUGGUGUUACUGCGAAGGGGGGACGGAGAAGGCUAUGUUGGCCGGGCGACGGUUGUCCCGGUUUAAGCGUGUAGGCUGGUUUUCCAGGCAAAUCCGGAAAAUCAAGGCUGAGGCGUGAUGACGAGGCACUACGGUGCUGAAGCAACAAAUGCCCUGCUUCCAGGAAAAGCCUCUAAGCAUCAGGUAACAUCAAAUCGUACCCCAAACCGACACAGGUGGUCAGGUAGAGAAUACCAAGGCGCUUGAGAGAACUCGGGUGAAGGAACUAGGCAAAAUGGUGCCGUAACUUCGGGAGAAGGCACGCUGAUAUGUAGGUGAAGUCCCUUGCGGAUGGAGCUGAAAUCAGUCGAAGAUACCAGCUGGCUGCAACUGUUUAUUAAAAACACAGCACUGUGCAAACACGAAAGUGGACGUAUACGGUGUGACGCCUGCCCGGUGCCGGAAGGUUAAUUGAUGGGGUCAGCGCAAGCGAAGCUCUUGAUCGAAGCCCCGGUAAACGGCGGCCGUAACUAUAACGGUCCUAAGGUAGCGAAAUUCCUUGUCGGGUAAGUUCCGACCUGCACGAAUGGCGUAAUGAUGGCCAGGCUGUCUCCACCCGAGACUCAGUGAAAUUGAACUCGCUGUGAAGAUGCAGUGUACCCGCGGCAAGACGGAAAGACCCCGUGAACCUUUACUAUAGCUUGACACUGAACAUUGAGCCUUGAUGUGUAGGAUAGGUGGGAGGCUUUGAAGUGUGGACGCCAGUCUGCAUGGAGCCGGCCUUGAAAUACCACCCUUUAAUGUUUGAUGUUCUAACGUGGACCCGUGAUCCGGGUUGCGGACAGUGUCUGGUGGGUAGUUUGACUGGGGCGGUCUCCUCCUAAAGAGUAACGGAGGAGCACGAAGGUUGGCUAAUCCUGGUCGGACAUCAGGAGGUUAGUGCAAUGGCAUAAGCCAGCUUGACUGCGAGCGUGACGGCGCGAGCAGGUGCGAAAGCAGGUCAUAGUGAUCCGGUGGUUCUGAAUGGAAGGGCCAUCGCUCAACGGAUAAAAGGUACUCCGGGGAUAACAGGCUGAUACCGCCCAAGAGUUCAUAUCGACGGCGGUGUUUGGCACCUCGAUGUCGGCUCAUCACAUCCUGGGGCUGAAGUAGGUCCCAAGGGUAUGGCUGUUCGCCAUUUAAAGUGGUACGCGAGCUGGGUUUAGAACGUCGUGAGACAGUUCGGUCCCUAUCUGCCGUGGGCGCUGGAGAACUGAGGGGGGCUGCUCCUAGUACGAGAGGACCGGAGUGGACGCAUCACUGGUGUUCGGGUUGUCAUGCCAAUGGCACUGCCCGGUAGCUAAAUGCGGAAGAGAUAAGUGCUGAAAGCAUCUAAGCACGAAACUUGCCCCGAGAUGAGUUCUCCCUGACCCUUUAAGGGUCCUGAAGGAACGUUGAAGACGACGACGUUGAUAGGCCGGGUGUGUAAGCGCAGCGAUGCGUUGAGCUAACCGGUACUAAUGAACCGUGAGGCUUAACCUUACAACGCCGAAG
This 2009-nucleotide ribosomal RNA is filed under the name Shigella sonnei. RNAcentral describes it as "partial 23S ribosomal RNA". It matches the Rfam family "Bacterial large subunit ribosomal RNA", at positions 950 to 2925 of the family's 2925-position model. Lineage: Bacteria; Pseudomonadati; Pseudomonadota; Gammaproteobacteria; Enterobacterales; Enterobacteriaceae. The record is from RNAcentral.